Molecule: long non-coding RNA, 1412 nt
Filed under: Capra hircus (goat)
Lineage: Eukaryota; Metazoa; Chordata; Mammalia; Artiodactyla; Bovidae
Description: lncRNA (ENSCHIG00010031869.1)
Source: RNAcentral
ACUUCACUUCACUUCACAGAUAUCAAAAUAUGAAGAUCCACAUUUGUGAAAUAGUACUUUAUGAGCUUCUUUAUUACGUAUUAAGUAUCAAGAUCUAGCCACUGGUCAAUCUACUACCGCGAUUUUUGUGAGGCGCAGAAACAAUAUUUUGAUAUCUCUACCACAACUGCUAACGAUAGUCUCUGUAAUUUGCACGUGUGCUGUGGUCACAGGAACUGCCGAUGCUACAGUCGUUUCUCACCUGCAAUCCUCAUGCAAGAAAAUGCUGCCUUUCUACUAGAAGUUAGUGAGAGUAAAGACGUUAUUUUUUUUCACCAGGUAAAUUCAUGGAUCCCUGAAUUCUACCUCUGCACCUGCAAGGGGUCUGAGGAUGCCAGGUUUGGGGCCCUGUUAAUCUAGUGGUAUUUCCACACUCUGUGCUGCUUUGCAGUCAGCCAGGACUGCUGAGAGCCUCAGCAACCCUGCUGAGAAGACACCACUGGCCAGGGGUUGCUGUCCUGUCUCGUUUUGUGAUUGAGUGCAUGCUUCUUCAGCUUUUCCGCAUCAUCCGAGAGGGUACGGUGAUGGUGAUGGCAUGUAGCGAUGAAGCAGUAAAUAAAGGCGGGAGAGAAGAGUGGUCAGGAGCACGGUCGGGGUGAUGGGGCGGGGGUUGGCACAGGGGAUCAGAUUCACAAUCAGAUGACCCCCUGCCCUCCACUCAUCAGCUGUGUGUCCUCAGGCAGGUCAAUAAGCAAUCAAGACUCGGCUCUCUCAUCUGUGCAAUGGGCUGAAGCAUACGCCCUCAUGGGCUGGCUCUGAGGACCCAGUGAGACAAGGGAUGGAAAGUUCUGGAACAAUGCUGGUGCAUGGGGAACACUCAGUAAAACACAACGGUCUGAGAGCCACCUUGCCCUUUCACUGUUUACCGAGUGCCUCUCUCCAAAAAGGAGAUUGCAACGGGAUAGCUUUUGAAUCAGAGUGUUCCAGUCUCCUGCUUAUUGCUGUCACCCAGAAUUCCACUCUAGGAAGUGGCUAGUCACAGCUGGGAGGGGCUGGUGCCUCUGGGGAGCCUCAGAAAGUUUCCCUCUUCUUCCUGGCCCAGUCCAAGCUGAUGAGUUUGGGGAGCUGAUGAGUUUAACCAUUGGUUCCAUGGCUUUUCUUUUCUUUUUGCUUCCUGCCUCCCCCAUGGGGUUUUUUUUUUUUUUUUUUUUAAUUGUCCNNNNNNNNNNNNNNNNNNNNNNNNNNNNNNNNNNNNNNNNNNNNCAAGAGCGUGAGCUUCUCUUGUUUCCCAGGACAGGUUUGGGCCAAGACAAACCUUGGUGAUGCCAACAGCAGUUGCUUAAACAGUGGAGCUCAGAGCUGGCUUCCCGGCCUGGCUUGCAGGGAUCUGUUUGAACUUUCUCCUCUCUCCUUCCACCCAGUGAUUAAAGGAA